AUGAACGCUGGCGGCGUGCCUAAUACAUGCAAGUCGAGCGAACAGACGAGGAGCUUGCUCCUCUGACGUUAGCGGCGGACGGGUGAGUAACACGUGGAUAACCUACCUAUAAGCCUGGGAUAACUUCGGGAAACCGGAGCUAAUACCGGAUAAUAUAUUGAACCGCAUGGUUCAAUAGUGAAAGACGGUUUUGCUGUCACUUAUAGAUGGAUCCGCGCCGCAUUAGCUAGUUGGUAAGGUAACGGCUUACCAAGGCAACGAUGCGUAGCCGACCUGAGAGGGUGAUCGGCCACACUGGAACUGAGACACGGUCCAGACUCCUACGGGAGGCAGCAGUAGGGAAUCUUCCGCAAUGGCCGAAAGCGUGACGGAGCAACGCCGCGUGAGUGAUGAAGGUCUUCGGAUCGUAAAACUCUGUUAUUAGGGAAGAACAAAUGUGUAAGUAACUAUGCACGUCUUGACGGUACCUAAUCAGAAAGCCACGGCUAACUACGUG
This 496-nucleotide ribosomal RNA is filed under the name uncultured bacterium. Its description in RNAcentral is "partial 16S ribosomal RNA". It matches the Rfam family "Bacterial small subunit ribosomal RNA", at positions 29 to 507 of the family's 1533-position model. The record is from RNAcentral.